Molecule: ribosomal RNA, 275 nt
Filed under: uncultured Opitutus sp.
Lineage: Bacteria; Pseudomonadati; Verrucomicrobiota; Opitutia; Opitutales; Opitutaceae
Description: partial 16S ribosomal RNA
Rfam family: Bacterial small subunit ribosomal RNA
Source: RNAcentral
CCUACGGGUGGCUGCAGUUUCGAAUUAUUCACAAUGGGCGAAAGCCUGAUGGUGCGACGCCGCGUGAGGGAUGAAGGUCUUCGGAUUGUAAACCUCUGUCACUAGGGAAGAAACGCUGUAUUUUAACAGAAUGCAGCCUGACUUAACCUGGAGAGGAAGCAGUGGCUAACUCUGUGCCAGCAGCCGCGGUAAUACAGAGACUGCAAGCGUUAUUCGGAUUCACUGGGCGUAAAGGGUGCGCAGGCGGCCAAGUGUGUCAGGUGUGAAAUCCCGGG